Molecule: ribosomal RNA, 376 nt
Filed under: uncultured bacterium
Lineage: Bacteria
Description: bacterial SSU rRNA
Rfam family: Bacterial small subunit ribosomal RNA
Source: RNAcentral
UACAGAGGGGGCAAGCGUUGUUCGGAAUUACUGGGCGUAAAGGGCGCGUAGGCGGCCUGUUAAGUCGGACGUGAAAUCCCUCGGCUCAACCGGGGAACUGCGUCUGAUACUGGCGGGCUUGAAUUCGGGAGAGGGAUGUGGAAUUCCAGGUGUAGCGGUGAAAUGCGUAGAUAUCUGGAGGAACACCGGUGGCGAAGGCGGCAUCCUGGACCGACAUUGACGCUGAGGCGCGAAAGCCAGGGGAGCAAACGGGAUUAGAUACCCCGGUAGUCCUGGCCCUAAACGAUGAGUGCUUGGUGUGGCGGGUAUCGAUCCCUGCCGUGCCGAAGCUAACGCAUUAAGCACUCCGCCUGGGGAGUACGGUCGCAAGGCUGAA